CAAAUAUGUACCCUAAUUAAGGGAGUUAUAGUGAUAAUAUAAAACAUAAGAGCUAACCUCUUCAUAUU
Molecule: transfer RNA, 68 nt
Filed under: Xenoturbella hollandorum
Lineage: Eukaryota; Metazoa; Xenacoelomorpha; Xenoturbellidae
Description: tRNA-Ile
Source: RNAcentral